CGGAACGUAGCGCAGCCCGGGUAGCGCACUACCUUGGGGUGGUAGGGGUCGCGGGUUCAAAUCCCGCCGUUCCGACUA
RNAcentral lists this transfer RNA (78 nucleotides) under bacterium BRH_c32. Its description in RNAcentral is "tRNA-Pro". It matches the Rfam family "tRNA". From Rfam's summary of the family: Transfer RNA (tRNA) molecules are approximately 80 nucleotides in length. The record is from RNAcentral.